AAGUCGUAACAAGGUAACCGUAGGUGAACCUGCGGUUGGAUCAUUACGAAAUCAAAAACUUUCGUGGAUGGCAUGCCCCUGGCUGGGGGUGCCCUCUCCCGAAAUGCACACCCUUGUGAACGUUUAACGUAUUUUGGCGACCCCCCUGGCGCUUCAUUGAGUCUCGGUUGGAGUUGAGGACUCGCCUCCUCUCCUCCUGAUGGGUCGCCAGCAUUGACAACGCACCCUUGUAGUUUUUACAGUCCUCUGAAACCAAAACUUGAGAAACAAUGAGAAACAACUUUAGACAACGGAUCUCUUGGCUCUC
Molecule: unclassified non-coding RNA, 307 nt
Filed under: fungal sp.
Lineage: Eukaryota; Fungi
Description: partial internal transcribed spacer region
Rfam family: Eukaryotic small subunit ribosomal RNA (bases 1-46)
Source: RNAcentral